UCCGUUCCAAUUGAAAAAACAUACCGCAAACUGAAACGGAAUGACAAAUCCACAGUGCUUUGGAAACAAUAUUUCCCCAUUUCUUGAAAAAAAUAAAAUAGUAAACAAUUAAAAGCUAAAAACUACUGGUUUAGCUAGCGGCUGGCUUGCUCUUCUGGUUCGGUGUUUUGUUGGCCAAUUGAAACAUUAGGGUUUCUUCGGCGACCUGCGGAUCAAGCUCCCUGUAGAUUAUCUUGGCGGAAAGAAAGAGGUAACUUUCUUGCAUCACUUGAAGUGAAAUUCAAUUCAAUCCAAUCCCCAUGUUCUAUUUUCUCAGCAAAUCCGUUCUCCAGUAUGGGAGACACACUACUGCCGUUUCACCCACCCACAAGCACUUUUCAUUUCAACUCUCACCUUCAACUCUCACUCUUAGAUUCUUCAUCUCAACCCUUGAAAAUCCAAAUAAACACUCAUUUGCAGCCUCUUAUCUCAUAAGCAAAUUUGGGUUCUCUCCUGAUUCUGCUCUUUCAGCUUCUAAACAUCUCAAUUUUACAACCACAGAAAAACCUGACUCUGUGAUUCACAUUUUCAAGCACUAUGGUUUCUCUCAGGUUCAAACCUUAAAACUCGUUAAAAAAUACCCACGAGUGCUUUCGUGCAACCCUGAGAAAACCCUUUUGCCUAAACUAGAGUUUUUCCACUCUAAAGGCAUGUCAAACAAUGACAUUGCACGCAUUUUAUGUACGUAUCCUCAUAUUUUAGUUAGAAGCUUGGAAAACUGUAUAACUCUUAAUUUUAACUUCCUUGGCAAUUUGCUUCAAUCUAAUGACAAGACAAUUGCUGCUGCUAAAAGAUACUCGCCUAUUCUAUAUCAUAAACCCGAUAGAUUCUUGAAACCUUGUAUCGACAUUUUGGAAGAGUAUGGAGUCCCCAAAAAGCAUAUUGCUUCAUUGGUUCACCGUUGGCCUAGGUCUGUCAUGAUGUCUCCGAAUUAUCUGAGAAGAAUUGUAGAGAAGGUGAGAGAAAUGGGAUGUGAUCCUCUUAAGCCACAGUUUACUACGGCAGUGAUGGUGAUGAGUCUACUGAGCCAAUCUGGGUGGGAAAGGAGGCUGGGUGUUUAUAAGAGUUGGGGUUGGUCUGAGGAAGACGUUCAUGCUGCUUUCAUAAAGGAGCCUUGGUGCAUGAUGACAUCAGAUGAUAAGAUUAUGGCAGUGAUGGAUUUUUUGGUCAACAACAUGGAUUGUGAGCCUUCAUUUAUUGUGAAAAACCCCUAUCUUUUGAAGCCAGGCUUGAAGACAACAUUUAUACCAAGAGCUUCAGUUGCUCAGUUUUUGUUAUCGAAACAGUUGAUUAAAAGGAAGCCGAACUUGGUUACUCUGUUUUUGUGUUCUGAGAAGAUGUUCCUUGAGAAAUUCGUGUAUCGUUUUGAAGAAGCCCCUCAGCUAUUAAAGCUGUAUGGAGAUCAAUCAAAUCUUUCAAAAUGACAUGGAAAUGUAACCAUUUUGUGAAUCGUUUUUCUCUCUCCAGCUGUAUUUGGAUACUGUAAUGCAACUACAAGGACUAGCUAGCUUUCGACUCCAUGCCACAUGUUUUUGCUUGGCAUGUAGCUGACUGGGAGCUUGCUUUUGCGUCUCUCACUGAUCAUAGCUGCCUUCAGUCGCACCAGCUCCAACAACAUGUGUUUGUCGAGCCCUUCUGACAUCCAAAUUUUAUGUUGCAGUCUCUGUUUUUACUGUACCUUUUGACUCACUGCUGCUUUCUUUAACCGUCACUUUUGUUGUCUUGUUAACCAUUUUUUAUUCAGCUUUGUUAACCUUAAAAUUCAUGUUUUCCACGAGUCUUAUAAAAUGUCUUCCUCUCUCUCUGACUUUGUUUUCUCAAUUCCUUGGAUUCAAUUUUUCCUUCUCUCCAAUUGUCUUUCAACUCGCUCUGUGACACACGAUUAUGGAGACAGCCUGCGGGGCCAAGGUGACGAGUACAAUAAUAAAAGUUGUAGACUUAAAGUGUUGUUUUAGUUGUUAUAGAAAGCUAUUUAAUUC
Populus euphratica (Euphrates poplar) is the source of this 2018-nucleotide RNA transcript. RefSeq lists it as uncharacterized. The record is from RefSeq and is a predicted model, not a curated record. The transcript has 2 exons. NCBI's taxonomy places the organism in Eukaryota, Viridiplantae, Streptophyta, Magnoliopsida, Malpighiales, Salicaceae.